This 1661-nucleotide long non-coding RNA is filed under the name Marmota monax (woodchuck). The record is from RNAcentral. Lineage: Eukaryota; Metazoa; Chordata; Mammalia; Rodentia; Sciuridae.
AAUUUGAUGAGACUGAAUACUUAGUUUUUUUUAAUUUCUUUUUUGUGGUGUUGGGGAUCAAAUCCAGGGCCUAAUUAAGCAUAUACUCUAAUUGCUGAGUUAUAUCCCUGGCCCCAAGACUAAAUGUUUCUGGCCCCCUCCUCAUUUUAUAAAUGACACAACUGUGACCAACUCCUGUUUUGUGAGUUUCCAGUGUCUGCUUUCUCAUGACAAACAUCAUUAAUAAUUUUCCUACUGAACUGAGCUGUAACUGAAUUCUUAACACUGUGUACCUGGUAGAAACUAUCAAGCAAGAACUGUUCUGACCUUUGAAACUUAUUUGUUGUCCUUUAUCAUACUCAGUUAAUUAUUUGAGAUUAUUGCAUUUUUCUCUAUCCGUACAUCCCAGACUUCGUUGUGUCUUGUGCAUUUGCGUUUGGUCUUGUUAAUGCCUGAAUUUGUGUUAGGUCAUUUCCUAUAAGAUAAAUGUCAUUUUUAUGAACUACCUAUUGAAUUAAACAACUCUCCACAAAGAAAAGUAACUUAAAAACUGUGUUGCCCUUAGCUAAAAUUUGGAGCAUACUUUACCUAUGGUUUCUGAUUUCUAGGCCCAGAAAAUUGCUGAACAUCGGAGAAAAUAUGAGCGAAAACGUGAAGAGCGAGAGAUCAAAGAAAGAAUAGAAAGAGUUAAGAAGGCUCGAGAAGAACAUGAGAGAGCCCAGAGGGUAAAUUUUUUUAGUUAAGCCUGAGUGGAACAUACUGUAGAUCAUAGUUUUGAGAUAUUAUUCCUACUCCUAGCCACUUUAUUUAAUGCUGGCUGAAGUUCUAUAGAGUGAUGAUAUUACUUUAAAAGGAGUCUCCUUUCAUUGUUUCCAAUGUGUGGGGAUAAUUUUAGUCUUUAAAAUUUUUAAGUUAGCUUAUAUUUAACCAAAGUGUGUUCUUUUUAUGUUUUUCUAAAGUAAAAAAUUUUAGGCUGGGGGUGUAGCUCUAGUUCAGGGGUAGAUCAUUUGUCUACCAUGCACUGGACCCUGAGUUCUAUCCCUAGCACUCCUUGCAAAACUCCCCACCCCCAAUUUUUUAAGUCAGAAAUUUCUCAUAAUCAAAUGAUUAAAAUUUGGUGAUAUUUUUUGUUCGGUUUGUUUGAACAGGAUUUGCCCUUGUUUCUUUUUUCUUUUUCUUUUUUUCUUUUCCUUAUGAAAAAGCUUAUGUGUAAAACACUUGAGACUAUUAAUAUUUAACUCAUUCACACAACUUCAAAAUACAGUUUCAUCAAGAUGAUCUCUACCAACAAUUUUCCUUUAAAGAAGUCUGCAAAUUUCAGAAUGGUUUAAGUUGACAUACUGUACAUGUUAAACUUUGAAAGAAACUACUAAAGUUUUUGCUUUAAACUGGAAAAAAACUAUGGUCAAAAUUGUCUUUUUAAAAAGAACUCUUCAUCCUGCUGUUCCUAAAAUUACACUCAUGUUAACUGCAGAAAAAAUAUUAAAGCAUACAGUAAACAUUACUCUUAGAAUAACUGAACAAAGGCAUUAAGAUGUAUGGCUUUCUGUGUGAUUGUUAUUACUAUCUAUAAAUAAAGUCAUUGCUGUUUGACUGAAAAAGGUUUUUACAAAACUUCACUUCCAAAAUUAACAUUUUUAUUAAAUCAAGUUUUAAAAAAUGUUCACUGUAGAAAAGUCAAC